UGCAGGUGGAUGUGCUGACU
This 20-nucleotide unclassified non-coding RNA is filed under the name Mus musculus (house mouse). Its description in RNAcentral is "oocyte_clustered_small_RNA11361". Lineage: Eukaryota; Metazoa; Chordata; Mammalia; Rodentia; Muridae. The record is from RNAcentral.